This is a long non-coding RNA of Equus caballus (horse), 4220 nucleotides long. The record is from Ensembl. Lineage: Eukaryota; Metazoa; Chordata; Mammalia; Perissodactyla; Equidae.
AUCAACCUUCUGUUCUGUUAAACCUGGGAAGAAAGAGGUUUCAAAGAGUUCUUCCUCUUUAUGAGCCUUCUUACAGCCAAAUCCACUGCAGGUGGUGAAGGUAGGGGAAAAUAGGCAUUGACUUGUGCAUCUGGAUGCUGGGGAUGGACCACUGACAAGUGUUUUCAUUGAUCUGAAAUUAGCAAGACCACAGGCCAGAGUUGUCUCAAAUCCUCAUGUAUAUAUGAAUCACCAGGGCAUCUUGUUAAGAUGCUGCAGGUUUAGGGAGGGGCAGAGAGUGUGCCUUUCUAACAAGCUUCCAGGUGAUAUUGAGAUCUUGAUGCAGCUGGUUCUCAGACCGUGCUUUGAGAAGCGAGGCUACGCUUACCUGGCAGUUUGCUUUUUGGAGAUUUAUCCCGAGGGAACAUGGAUAAUAAAAGCCGUAUUGGGUCAAGAAGUUUUCAUCUAAGAAGGAGGAUUGUGCAAUAGAAAGAGGACUAACGAGGAGCAGGAAAACCAGGGCUGAAUUCCAAGUUAUGCAACAAGCUAACUGAGUGCAUUUGGAUAAGCUAUAGCCUCUCUGAGCUACAAGGAGGAGGUUAAGCUGUGUUGAACAUGUAUCCAGAGCACAAACAGAAACACCCAUUUGGAAAUGUCUGGAUUUGAUGAUGUCCAAGGUCCCUUCUUAACACGGAUAUCCUGUGAUCUCAGUGACAAGCAUAAAGAGGGAAAGAGGAACAAGUCACAAGAGAGUCCCAAAAGUUACAGCUUCUGAGAAAGAAACCAGAGGUCUGAGGAAAGGAAUACUCCAGUGUUCCUGAGAUGAAUCGAGACAGCAAACAGGAAACCAUCUUUGAAAAGCAAGAAGAAGCACCAAAGAUAAGGAAAUGGAAGCUUCAAGUGGCUGAACUGGCUUGCUGUGCACCCACAGCCAGCAAAUCUCUGGAUCAGGAUUCAAGCCACAGUCUUGUGGCUCCCUGAUGAGGCUCUAAAGCAGACAAGGCAGAGAGGAGCAGGUGAAAGAACAGAGAGGAGGGAAUGACUUACAACAGAACCAACAUGUGGCUGCUGCUGCUGCUGGUCAUCUCUAACUGACCACUUUACUGUCAGUGCCAAGCAUUGUGUCAAGCGCUGGAUCAAUAUUAUCUCACUUAAUUGUCAUCCCCGUUCUGUGAGGACAAGGAGGACAAACCAAUGUACUGUAGCUGAAAGAAACAAUUGUCAGAGGCGUGUCAUGACUGGAGAGAAUUUGAAGGGAGAGGAGGAGAGACUGCAGCUGCAGGAUGUCUGAAACCUGCAUUCAAAGGCACUGUGCUAGAGCCACAGGGAGCAAGUGCUGACUUGGUUACGCUAUCACUUCCAGGAAUCCAGCCCCCAUCCCCCAAAGUUUAUACGUGGGACGCCUACCACAGCAUGGCUGCCAAGCAGUGCCAUGUCCGCACCCGGGAUCCGAACCAGCGAACCCCGGGCCACCGAGAAGCGGAACGUGCGAACACCGGGCCGGCCCCUCUCUUUUAAACUUGAGUGGCACAAGAAAGCAGCCACCAGUCUUUCUGGGGACGUGUCCUAUCCCUUCCAGCUACAUCAUCCACACCAGCAGAGAUCCGGAACCCUAUGCAGACGACCCCAGUCCAGGUCACAAGGUGACCAUCACAGAGAAGGGAAAUAUGUUACUUGUUGACAAUACACUGAGCUCACACUGAUGGACAUGCUUAAUCUUCACUCUCCUCCUCCAAGGCUAUAUUUCUCCUGGGGGAACAUGACAUCUUUAUUUUGACAAAAUGUCCUGAGUGGGAGGUGAAGACAGACUACAGCCCUCGAGCCACCAUUUAUUUGAAACUGCCAGCCUUUUUCCUCCAGAACCAAUGAUGCAGAAGUCUUCCAAAAUUUGAACAUCAUUGUGUUAUUUAAUAGCCAAAAAUCUUAUUUUUCUCCUGAUUUAUGCUUGAUAACCCUCUUGAAAUCAUUUAAGGAUAUGUACAAAAGAUAUACUUUUAUGUAGGAUCUAGUUUGAACUCAGAAAGUUAGCAAAAUAUAAAUGAAAUGGUAGAAAAAUGGCAAUAAUGCCACCAUAUUUUGGCUAAUAUGUUCCUAUGCUAAUUAACUGGACUGAAUGUGGAAAACAUACAGAGUUCAGUGAAAGAGGACAUCUGGCCAUCCCAUCUGAACUACUUAUUAGCUCUGUGACCUUGGCUAAGUCACUUAACUUCUCUGAAUCAGUUUCCUCAUCUAUAAAAUUGAAGACACUAAUACUGAGCUUACAGUAUUAUUUGAAUUACUACUUUUACAGUGUGAACCAUACACACAUCAUCUUGUCUGAACUUCUGUCAUGCUUUAGUCAUAUUACUUUUAUAAUUACUAGUGUUUCUAUAUGUAUCAUCUCUUAUUUAGGUGAAAAUAAUUUAAUUGCUUAAUAGUUUACAGAGGGAUUCACACACAUUAGAUCAAUUGAUCUUCACAGCAACCCUGGUAAAUAAGACAGGUAGAUAUUAUUCCAUUUUAGAAGCAAGGAAGUGAGAAGCAAAGAAUUCAAUAAUUUCCCUAAACUCACACAGCUAGAAUGUAGUAGAAGGCAAUGCAAACCCGGCAUUCUGAUUCUACUCUCAUUAAUAGAGCCAUGUUCCCAGGUCAAAUGCUCACUAAAGAGAAGGGUGUAGACUUUCACUAAGACAGGACUGGGACUUCACCCUUGAAUCCACUUCCCUUCCCAUCCCAACUCCCAGGGCCUAGCGCCAUCUUUUAUUCAUAGUGGGCUCUCCACACAUAUUUGCGGAACUCAUUCAUUCACUCAAUCAUUCAAUAUUUAUUGAAUGUCUAUAUGCUAGGCACUCUGCUAAGUGCUAAGAUACUACGAUGAGAAAUACAGACUUGACUGUGCCUACAAAGACUUAUAAUAAACGGAAGGAAGGAAGGAAGGAAAGAAGGGAGGAAAGAAAGAAGGAUGGAGAGAGGGAGGAGGGAGGGGAAGCAAACUGGGCAGAUAUUCUUAAUUUUUUAAUCUGGAUAAAAUACAAAAGUUAGGUCCAGCCCAGGUCAGUCUCCAUAGUGGUGCUCAGAAAGUUCUUGGCCCCAGCCCCAGAGUAAUAUUUUUAGCAAUACUGUAAAGAUUUCUUCAAGGUGGUUUGUCGCAGGCUUUCUGGAUUGCUGGGGAGGAAAUGUGAAGGUGUGUCCGACCCGGUUGCAGAAGGUACACAUAACGGAGUGCAUCGAAGUCAGGGGAAGCUUGCUAGCUUCAUUUUCUGAUACUUCUCCUCAUCUAGAUGAGAGAAGUGUUUAUUUAGGAGUGUUCUCCCUGCCCUUGGCUUAGAAACAAGCUAUAAAUUUUACUAAUCUCAAAGAAGACCAUUUUUUUGUGUGCUUUUUCUCUUUGGUAUAAACUCAUAGACACUUGCUCUGAAAAUCAGCCCUGAGUUAUGCAUCAAUGUUUCCAAUUACAUUCCAGUUACAUGAAGUUUAACAACUCUGAAUAAUGAUUUUAGGGGCGGGGCACAGUGAUUCCCAUCCAAGGGAAGGGAAAUAACAUUCAGCACCUACCUCACAGCCAGCUCCUGUACAGCUCUAUUUUGUCACUGUUUCAUCCUUCGUACAAGACACAGCAGCCCUCAGUAAACAAAGGAUGGUAGAGCAAUACUUAAUUUCCUUAAAUUAUCCAGAAUAUCAAUUAGGAAAUUGAUUUCCUACUUUUCGUGAAAGUAUUUACAAAUGAAUAAAAUUGUGAUGUGAGUUCUCCUUUAUGCAGAAGCCAUUUUAAAAAUUGCUGAAUUCUAAUCUUUUUACAAAAAUUUUCUGCUUUUCAGAUAAUAGGCAUUGACAAGAAUUCAUUUCUUCCUGGCACAUUCACCAUGGCGUACUUGUAAACAUAAUGUACAUAAUCAGUAGAUAGAAAAAUAGCAAAGUAUAUAUCUUCUAAGAAUUUAGUGCUUGAGUAGAAUGAAUGACUUAUUAACCCGUGUUAUAGAUAAUAACUCAUGCUGCGAUACUUUCUACUGAUGAUGUUUAAACCUACAGCAGUGACCAUAGGCAUGAAAAAUUGCCAGGCCAGUCUUGCAGUCCUUUGCAACGUCUAUUUCUAGAAAUAUUUUUUAGAAGUUGGGUAUUUCUAUUUUCUACUACAUCCUCUCAGAAAACAAGUUAUACUUGUCAAUACCGAAAACUAGUUACUCUUAUUAAUGUAAAUUGCGUGAUCACAUCCUUUGGUAAUUUUAAUAAAUAAAAGACAUAAUGGCAAACCAACACCAAAA